CUCAUCUGUUCAAUAUCAGUCCUACAAUUACCAAUUUGAAAACUUUUCUCCCACUAAAGGCAGGUUCUUUCCUGCUGGGGAGGAGACAUCCAGUUUAACCCUGAGCAGCUGCCAGCAAACUUCACCAGACCUUCGGGAAGAGCUCCUUGGGACCAGCAGCAGGACAGGAGUACCGCCAGCAGGGAAGGACAAGGUGAUGAUGCAGGAACUGGUGUGUGCAGGACCAGAUCCAUUCACAUCUGAGCUUUGCUGUGCCCAUUUAUUGGUGUUCCAGGUGAAUUAGGAUUUGUGUCUGCUCUUCAGUUUAAAGUGGACACACAUUUGUUGGCAGUCCUCCCAUCCCUGUAAUGGAUGUGGCCACUUACUGCAGCUGCUGACAGCACCAUCAAGGGAAGUGUGGAGCCACGAGGCUUCUGUAUCUUCACAAGUCCUAGCAGGUAAGUUCUUCAUUCCCCUCUCCCUUCCCAGAUGAUGCACAUGCAUCAUAUUUCCUUGAAAUAAGUAUUUCCAUGAAGGCCGAAGAUGUUAAU
RNAcentral lists this long non-coding RNA (530 nucleotides) under Cyanistes caeruleus (blue tit). Its description in RNAcentral is "lncRNA (ENSCCEG00000000344.1)". Lineage: Eukaryota; Metazoa; Chordata; Aves; Passeriformes; Paridae. The record is from RNAcentral.